Lycium ferocissimum is the source of this 1745-nucleotide long non-coding RNA. RefSeq lists it as uncharacterized. Lineage: Eukaryota; Viridiplantae; Streptophyta; Magnoliopsida; Solanales; Solanaceae. The record is from RefSeq and is a predicted model, not a curated record. The transcript is spliced from 2 exons.
UGUAUUCUUUUUCAUUUGAGGGUGGGUGAAGAACUCAUUGUAUUUUUGUGAUGAAGCUUUGUUUCUAUUUUCAAAGUGAUUAGCUUAUGAUAGAUGUAUAGGGACUUGCUGUAGCAACAUGUAAACAAAUGUCGCAGCAGUAAGCCGUGUAAGUGUAUAUCUGAAAGUCUCUAGAUGAGAGCCAAGAGGUAGUAGUUGUAUCACACUUGAAUUGUGUAUAGACUACGUAUGCGACUCUCUCCGAUCUCAAAGCUACCAACAUGUAUAAAGUACAUCCUGUCUGUAACGAAACAGAUAUUGAGAAACUAAUCCACCAGAGACGAUCGUAUCUAUGGAUGCAGGCUAUUUCUUGAGAACUAUAUUUGUCAUUUUGAACUGCCAUGUUAUCAACAGAUAAAGGAAGGACUUGACCUACUUCUAUGGUUAAUAGGUGUUUUAGAUGUCUGUGAUUUUCUAUUAUUCUUUCAGCCAUGUGCAGCUUUAAGAAAGAAGCAAUACAUAUUUUUAUGAACCUCAGUCCUUAUUCAUAGUUGCAAUUAUGUUACAGUUUCCUCUUAAGACUAGAAAAAGAUCUCCAUUGACCAGAUUUAUGCUAAAGUGAUGUUGAAGUUGUAUCCCAAGUUUAAUGACAUUCUUCUGAAAAAAAUUGACCAGCUUUUUCAGGAAAGCACUAUCAUGUUAGUUGUUCAAUUAAUGAUGUGAAAAAAAAAAAAAAUCAUAUUCGACUGACUUUCUAUGCCAGUAACAAGUAAAAGGUCAUGGAAAGAUAAAACUAGAUAAAUGUAAUUAGUGAGCGAAGUGAGUUAGUUUUAUGUUUUUAUAGACACCAAACUGUUGGAAAAGUAGCUGCUUAUGAGAAUUUAGAGGUUACUGAAUGAGUUUAGAUGAUUAAUAUAUACUAUAAGGUGGAAAGGUAAGAGAUAUACUAUUGAGUGUAUGCUGUUAAAGUCUGCAGCUCUUCUAAAAAUCGAGUCUGCAAUAAAUUUUGUGCUGCUUAAUAAUAAUGAAUGAACUAUUUUCCUCUUCCCAUAAAAUUUGAAUGGUCUGAUGAGCUAUUUCUCAGAUCUUGAGUAAGAGUAAACAAUUUCUUAGACACUUGAUUGAAAAAUAGACCGAGUGGUUCAAUAUGUGCUGCUUUACACGAGAGUCCUGGUGUAUGUGCUCAUGCCUUAUGAAAGCACUUGAUUGUGUUUUGAACUUUAAAAUCAUAUAAGAAUCUAUAUAGGGGUUGCAGUAAUUCGGGUCACUAGCAAUCUGACCAUGUGGUUUGCAGUUUGUAUCAGUAAAACCAUGUGUGUAUUCUUUGGUUUUGCUUCUGUUGUUCAAAUUCAGAUGGAUGUUUAUGGGCGGAGAAAAUGACGAUACUAGAUCUUUUUGGUCAAGUGUUGAAGCCAUGGAAGCUGAGAAGAUCUACAAACUUUUGUUCUUUUCAUCUGCAGGUCUUUCAUUUAUUCACUGGUAAUUCGUAAGUGCUCUUGUUUUGGGAAUUUUAUAUGUUUCCCUUCCUCUUUUUUUCCUCUAUGCCUUUUUCAUUUUUUGAUUCAUUUUAUCCUUUCUUCAUGAGGUCCUAUACUUCUGUUUUUGUAGUUUUUACUGUAGUUUGGAUCAGUAAUCAAGAAAAGAUGUAUUAUAUGAAUUUGAAGAUCUUGGGGGUACCUAUUGGUUUCAAUGUAUUACUUUCUGAUGAGACCUUACAUCCCCUUCAUUGUAUCAUAUUUUUCUGUUAUUUCUUUGCUCUUUUUGCU